This 160-nucleotide ribosomal RNA is filed under the name Cyclocybe aegerita. Its description in RNAcentral is "5.8S ribosomal RNA". It matches the Rfam family "5.8S ribosomal RNA". From Rfam's summary of the family: 5.8S ribosomal RNA (5.8S rRNA) is a component of the large subunit of the eukaryotic ribosome. It is transcribed by RNA polymerase I as part of the 45S precursor that also contains 18S and 28S rRNA. The record is from RNAcentral. Lineage: Eukaryota; Fungi; Basidiomycota; Agaricomycetes; Agaricales; Hemipholiotaceae.
ACAACUUUCAGCAACGGAUCUCUUGGCUCUCGCAUCGAUGAAGAACGCAGUGAAAUGCGAUAAGUAAUGUGAAUUGCAGAAUUCAGUGAAUCAUCGAAUCUUUGAACGCACCUUGCGCUCCUUGGUAUUCCGAGGAGCAUGCCUGUUUGAGUGUCAUUAC